AAGACUAUACUUUCAGGGAUCAUUUCUAUAGUUUGUGACUUGAGAAAUGUGUUUCUAAAGUGUAUGGUCUCGCUGACCACGAUGAAGAGUUGUUGAUACUCCUUCCUGAGCAUGAACCAGACAGAGACCUGGUGUUUUCUGUCACUGAUGACUGUUCACUGUGUCCUUUGGGGCUAGUGAGGGGAAGAGUAUGAUCUGAGUGGC
Molecule: small nucleolar RNA, 204 nt
Gene: U3
Rfam family: Small nucleolar RNA U3
About the family: Small nucleolar RNAs (snoRNAs) are involved in the processing and modification of rRNA in the nucleolus. There are two main classes of snoRNAs: the box C/D class, and the box H/ACA class. U3 snoRNA is a member of the box C/D class.
Source: Ensembl